RNAcentral lists this ribosomal RNA (254 nucleotides) under uncultured bacterium. Its description in RNAcentral is "partial 16S ribosomal RNA". It matches the Rfam family "Bacterial small subunit ribosomal RNA", at positions 524 to 776 of the family's 1533-position model. The record is from RNAcentral.
UACGUAGGCAGCGAGCGUUGUUCGGAGUUACUGGGCGUAAAGCGUGCGUAGGCGGUCCUCUAAGUCUGGUGUGAAAUCUCCCGGCUCAACUGGGAGGGUGCGCCGGAAACUGGAAGGCUCAGAGUAUGGGAGAGGUAGGCGGAAUUCCUGGUGUAGCGGUGAAAUGCGUAGAUAUCAGGAGGAACACCUGUGGUGUAGACGGCUUACUGGACCAUUACUGACGCUGAGGCACGAAAGCGUGGGGAGCAAACAGG